GAAAAUCUGAGGGAGAAAUAGGGGGGAAAAAACUAAAAAGUUGUCAUGCCGCUGGUGCUGCAGGCAGAGUGACAGCAAGGGAUGUCAGAGAGACACAAUCAAACCAAGACCGAGAUAGAGAACAGACAAGGACAGGAAGACACAGAGACUGAUUCUCUGUGCUGACUCACCUUGGACAGCUUCUACUUCCUUGCAGGGGAUUGUGGAGGCGGAGGAGGAGGAGGAGGACAGACAACAACAACAACAGCAGCACACAAAGCUCGGGAGUCUUACAGAUUUAUGCAGAAGUAUCCCACCCUUCAAAGACCUCUAUGAACCACCUCUGAGAGGCAAAGCAUGUCUGUCACAGAUUUAUCAAAGGCAGACAGAGUGACAUUAUCCAGGCCAG
Molecule: long non-coding RNA, 388 nt
Organism: Oreochromis aureus
Lineage: Eukaryota; Metazoa; Chordata; Actinopteri; Cichliformes; Cichlidae
Source: Ensembl